UGGUUCUGGCAUCGAUGAAGAACGCAGCGAAAUGCGAUAAGUAAUGUGAAUUGCAGAAUUUAGUGAAUCAUCGAAUCUUUGAACGCACAUUGCGCCCCUUGGUAUUCCGAGGGGCAUGCCUGUUCGAGCGUCAUUACAACCCUCAAGCACUGCUUGGUGUUGGGCGUGGCCUUUGAUGGCCAGCCUUAAAAUCAGUGGCAGUGCCAUGUGGCUCUAAGCGUAGUAAAUAUCUCGCUUUUGAGUCCCUGUGAGCUCUAGCCAUCAACCCCAAAUUUUCUAUGGUUGACCUCGGAUCAGGUAGGGAUACCCGCUGA
RNAcentral lists this unclassified non-coding RNA (314 nucleotides) under uncultured fungus. RNAcentral's name for it is "partial contains 5.8S ribosomal RNA and internal transcribed spacer 2". The stretch from base 1 to 133 matches the Rfam family "5.8S ribosomal RNA", at positions 22 to 154 of the family's 154-position model. The record is from RNAcentral. Lineage: Eukaryota; Fungi.